This 30-nucleotide transfer RNA is filed under the name Campylorhynchus nuchalis. RNAcentral describes it as "partial tRNA-Phe". Lineage: Eukaryota; Metazoa; Chordata; Aves; Passeriformes; Certhiidae. RNAcentral also lists the same sequence under 10 other names. The record is from RNAcentral.
GUCCUCGUAGCUUACAAAAAGCAUGCCACU